RNAcentral lists this ribosomal RNA (438 nucleotides) under uncultured bacterium. RNAcentral's name for it is "partial 16S ribosomal RNA". It matches the Rfam family "Bacterial small subunit ribosomal RNA", at positions 355 to 784 of the family's 1533-position model. The record is from RNAcentral.
UAGGGAAUCUUCCACAAUGGACGCAAGUCUGAUGGAGCAACGCCGCGUGAGUGAAGAAGGUUUUCGGAUCGUAAAGCUCUGUUGUUGGUGAAGAAGGAUAGAGGCAGUAACUGGUCUUUAUUUGACGGUAAUCAACCAGAAAGUCACGGCUAACUACGUGCCAGCAGCCGCGGUAAUACGUAGGUGGUAAGCGUUGUCCGGAUUUAUUGGGCGUAAAGCGAGCGCAGGCGGAAUGAUAAGUCUGAUGUGAAAGCCCACGGCUCAACCGUGGAACUGCAUCGGAAACUGUCAUUCUUGAGUGCAGAAGAGGAGAGUGGAACUCCAUGUGUAGCGGUGGAAUGCGUAGAUAUAUGGAAGAACACCAGUGGCGAAGGCGGCUCUCUGGUCUGCAACUGACGCUGAGGCUCGAAAGCAUGGGUAGCGAAACAGGAUUAGAUA